This 253-nucleotide ribosomal RNA is filed under the name uncultured bacterium. Its description in RNAcentral is "partial 16S ribosomal RNA". It matches the Rfam family "Bacterial small subunit ribosomal RNA", at positions 524 to 776 of the family's 1533-position model. The record is from RNAcentral.
UACGAAGGGGGCUAGCGUUGUUCGGAAUUACUGGGCGUAAAGCGCGCGCAGGCGGUCUUCCAAGUCAGUGGUGAAAGCCCGGAGCUCAACUCCGGAACUGCCAUUGAAACUGUAAGACUUGAGGACGAGAGAGGUGAGUGGAAUUCCCAGUGUAGAGGUGAAAUUCGUAGAUAUUGGGAAGAACACCGGUGGCGAAGGCGGCUCACUGGCUCGUAACUGACGCUCAUGCACGACAGCGUGGGGAUCAAACAGG